UUAUAAUUAAUAUUUGAAGUUGAUUAAAACCAUUUNUUAUAGGAAGAUAUGGUACUUGUUAUCUGGUAAGCCAGCUAUAAUUAAAUGUUGAAAUUCCCUGGAAAUUGCUUAAUAUGGCUCUUCGGUGAUUGAAGCUAUUAAAGAGAGACACUUUGGAGAGUCGCAGCUUCUUUGCUUAAUUCUUUAUGUGCUCCUUCUAUUGAGCAUAUUGAUGGAUUAACUUUUUGGAAAACUAUUUUAGGAAUAUAAUAGUUGCUUUCCUAAUUCAUGAUAUGAAUCUUCAAGCUCGUCAGUCAUGAGGAAAACCAGGAAGUUCAUAUUUUGUGCAAGUCAGGCAAGAAAUACGUGUGUGAUGAUUUGGAGCAAUAAUUUUGGGCAAUACGGUGAAUGUAGAAUAUGGCAGAGUCUAAAGGAAUCGAGCUUUUAUGUGAUAAAUGUCACUUUAAUCAAGAUGUUGCGGGGAAUAAGACAGAGAGAUCUUAGUAAACGAGCACGAGGGAUAGCAACCAAAACUUGUUCGGAGAAAAAGCAGAUGUUCACCGAUGCAACAGCCAGAUAAAGAGGUAUAUUUAUGUGCAGUUUAUAUGGUAGCUUUGAAUGGAGGACUCAUCAUGGUUUGAUCGUUUCAUUUUCAAAGUGAAUUACAAAGACCAAAAGACUAUACAUGUUUCCAACGAUCCUCUGUCAAAACUGUGACCAAACGGUAUGGGAUUAGAGGAUGGAUCGAUCGAGUUUGAAUUUCUACUGAUGUAUAUGGAAAGACAAACCUAUUUGACUGUAAUGUCUAUGGUUUGUGCUGUGCUAGUUUUUGAACUUGUAUUGCUGUUUAAAUUAUGCAGAUAUAUGUUUGCGACUUUUGUGAUGCUCGUGCUGAGCAGAAUCCUUUUAUUAGUCGUUUUCUUCAUUGUAAAUCUGGUUUCAUUGAGUAUAAAAAUAUGUAUUGCUUUUGCCAUUCAUGAUGCCUUGCCGCUAUUUAAAAUGUCGUGAUUUUGUUCAAAAUUGUUGCGAUACGCUCAUUUGAUUAAUAAACUUGUAGAUAUGAAUGAAUUAAUAAGUGAAGGUGCUAAGAAUGGCUAAAACUAAAACGGG
RNAcentral lists this long non-coding RNA (1089 nucleotides) under Olea europaea subsp. europaea. Lineage: Eukaryota; Viridiplantae; Streptophyta; Magnoliopsida; Lamiales; Oleaceae. The record is from RNAcentral.